Molecule: unclassified non-coding RNA, 176 nt
Organism: Chelonoidis abingdonii (Abingdon island giant tortoise)
Lineage: Eukaryota; Metazoa; Chordata; Testudines; Testudinidae
Source: Ensembl
UUGGUAGCCCUGAAACUGAUAUCCUUUUAAUCCCAGGAUGGGUACAGCAUGGGCAGAGACAGUCCAAGCAUUCCUGGGACAGCCUCCUAAUUUUCCUCAUCCCUGACCUGAAGGAACAACCUGUAGAGGUGAAAGGAGUAGUUCAGUUUCUAUGCCCUGUUCAGUCCUUGGCCUGU